GAUGAACGCUGGCGGCGUGCUUAACACAUGCCAGUCGAACGGAAAGGCCCAACCUUGCUUGGGUACUCGAGUGGCGAACGGGUGAGUAACACGUGGGUGAUCUGCCCUGCACUUCGGGAUAAGCCUGGGAAACUGGGUCUAAUACCGGAUAGGACGAUGUUUUGGAUGCCAUUGUGGAAAGUUUUUUCGGUGUGGGAUGAGCUCGCGCCGUAUCAGCUUGUUGGUGGGGUAUUGUCCUACCAAGGCGUCGACGGGUAGCCGGCCUGUGAGGGGGUACGGCGACAUUGGGAGUGAGAUACGGCGCAGACUCCUACGGGGGGGAGAAGUGGGGAGUAUAGCACAAUGGGGGCAAGCCUGAGGCAGCGACGCGGCGUGGGGGAUGACGGCGUUCGGGUUGUAAACUCCUCUCGCGAGGGAGAAGGCGUGUUUGUGACGGUAACUGGAGAAGAAGCACCGGCUAACUACGUG
Molecule: ribosomal RNA, 468 nt
Filed under: uncultured bacterium
Lineage: Bacteria
Description: partial 16S ribosomal RNA
Rfam family: Bacterial small subunit ribosomal RNA
Source: RNAcentral